UGCCAAAACCAGUACCUGCACACCUAG
This 27-nucleotide non-coding RNA is filed under the name Mus musculus (house mouse). The record is from RNAcentral. Lineage: Eukaryota; Metazoa; Chordata; Mammalia; Rodentia; Muridae.